AUGAAGGCAGCAUUAAAAUCUAUCCUCCCACAAACUCUGCAUAAGCUGUGUCGGUGGCAUAUCAUGAAGAAGUACAAGGACCACCUCGCCUUGAUGUCUAAGGCGCACGAGAAGCUCAAGGACGAACUCAAUGCAGUGCUGAACCACCCACUAAUCCCGUCAGAAUUUGAACGAGCAUGGAAGAAUCUCAUUCAGAGGUACAACUUGCAAGACGACGAAGUGAUGAAUUUGCUGUGGGAUGACAGGCACGAGUGGAUCUCAGCUUACUACAAGGAAAUUUUCUGUGCUCGGAUGACUUCCACACCGAGAAGCGAGAGCAUGAACCGCAUACUGAAGAAAAAUUUUGUCAGGGAGAAGCAUGAUCUCCAUCUGUUUUCUCAGCAGGUGGACAAGUGCAUUCAGACCAAGAAGGCCGUCGAGCACACAGAUACAAUAGCAAAUGAGUCAUAGGUAAAAACAACAACAAAGUUUGGCUUCGAAGUUCAGCUAUCAAAAGUGUAUACAAGGGCAGUGUUUGCAGAUUUCAAAGAAACACUCUACCAUAGCACUGCAUUCAGAGCAGAACGGUGCCCUGAGAACCCGACAAAGUAUCUCGUACACCACUACAACAGAUCGAAUGCAUUUGACUGGGCAAGGCAUAAUUUCCAAGUGGUCCCCGAUGAAGAGAAAGGUGUCUACGAAUGUGACUGCAAACUCUCGACACACACAGGCCUCUUUUGCAUCCAUGUCUUAUGCAUGCUUUCUCAUUUGAGAGUACUCAACAUUCCUGAGGUGUACAUCAUGAAAAGAUACACCCGUAACACAAGAUCAGAUGCAACGUUUGACAAAAGAGACUACGAACAAACAACACCAGAUGGAACCUCGCUUUUUUGCCAUAGAAAAUUGCUGACAGAAAUAGCAAUGGACCUUGCAAACAGAGCGACAAGGUCCGAUGCUGGGUGCCACAGAGCGUUGUCUGGUAUGAGGGCACUGAUAGAGGAAAUUGACGUGCUCAACAAAGAAGAAGAAGAAGCAUCAAAACUAAAGUAA
This 1029-nucleotide ribosomal RNA is filed under the name Triticum aestivum (bread wheat). Its description in RNAcentral is "partial small subunit ribosomal RNA". Lineage: Eukaryota; Viridiplantae; Streptophyta; Magnoliopsida; Poales; Poaceae. The record is from RNAcentral.